Molecule: transfer RNA, 69 nt
Filed under: Ceratodoris hiroi
Lineage: Eukaryota; Metazoa; Mollusca; Gastropoda; Nudibranchia; Goniodorididae
Description: Okenia hiroi tRNA-Asn
Source: RNAcentral
GAGUAAGAAGCUAAUGGAGCAUUUGAUUGUUACUCAAAUAUUAGCAUAGUUUAACUUAUGCCUUCCUCG